This 113-nucleotide ribosomal RNA is filed under the name Acanthochromis polyacanthus (spiny chromis). The record is from RNAcentral. Lineage: Eukaryota; Metazoa; Chordata; Actinopteri; Pomacentridae.
GCAUGUAGCAAUAUCAAGUUUGGUGAGCUCGCCUGAUUUUGGAAGUUAAGCAGGGUUGGGCCUGGUUAGUACUUGGAUGGGAGACCUUUUGGGACUACCAGGUGCUGUGAGCU